This 468-nucleotide ribosomal RNA is filed under the name uncultured bacterium. RNAcentral describes it as "partial 16S ribosomal RNA". It matches the Rfam family "Bacterial small subunit ribosomal RNA", at positions 28 to 507 of the family's 1533-position model. The record is from RNAcentral.
GACGAACGCUGGCGGCGUGCUUAACACAUGCAAGUCGAACGGAAAGGCCCUGCUUUUGUGGGGUGCUCGAGUGGCGAACGGGUGAGUAACACGUGAGUAACCUGCCCUUGACUUUGGGAUAACUUCAGGAAACUGGGGCUAAUACCGUAUAGGAGCUCCUGCUGCAUGGUGGGGGUGGGAAAGUUUCGGCGGUUGGGGCUGGACUAGCGGCUUAUCAGCUAGUUGGUCGGGUAGUUGCUUGCCAAGGGAUUGACGGGUAGGCGGCCUGGGAGGGUGACCGGCCACAAUGGGACUGCGAUAGGGACCAGAGUCCUACGGGAGGCAGCGGUGGGGAAUAUUACACAAUGGGCGGAAGCCUGAUGCAGCAACGCCGCGUGCGGGAUGACCGCCUUCGGGUUGUAAACCGCUUUCGCCUGUGACGAAGCGUGAGUGACGGUAAUGAGUAAAGAAGCACCGGCUAACUACGUG